CAGCAGCCGCGGUAAUGCGUAGGUGGCAAGCGUUGUCCGGAAUUAUUGGGCGUAAAGGGCUCGCAGGCGGUUUCUUAAGUCUGAUGUGAAAGCCCCCGGCUCAACCGGGGAGGGUCAUUGGAAACUGGGAAACUUGAGUGCAGAAGAGGAGAGUGGAAUACCACGUGUAGCGGUGAAAUGCGUAGAGAUGUGGAGGAACACCAGUGGCGAAGGCGACUCUCUGGUCUGUAACUGACGCUGAGGAGCGAAAGCGUGGGGAGCGAACAGGAUUAGAUACCCCCGUAGUCCCUGUCUCUUAUAC
Molecule: ribosomal RNA, 301 nt
Filed under: uncultured bacterium
Lineage: Bacteria
Description: partial 16S ribosomal RNA
Rfam family: Bacterial small subunit ribosomal RNA
Source: RNAcentral